GUCCUGCCCACUGCCACUUCAAUGUCGCA
RNAcentral lists this small RNA (29 nucleotides) under Bombyx mori (domestic silkworm). RNAcentral describes it as "ovarian small RNA-17765". Lineage: Eukaryota; Metazoa; Arthropoda; Insecta; Lepidoptera; Bombycidae. The record is from RNAcentral.